RNAcentral lists this ribosomal RNA (406 nucleotides) under uncultured bacterium. RNAcentral's name for it is "bacterial SSU rRNA". It matches the Rfam family "Bacterial small subunit ribosomal RNA", at positions 11 to 418 of the family's 1533-position model. The record is from RNAcentral.
GUUUGAUCCUGGCUCAGAUUGAACGCUGGCGGAAUGCUUUACACAUGCAAGUCGAGCGGCAGCGCGGGGGCAACCCUGGCGGCGAGCGGCGAACGGGUGAGUAAUGCAUCGGAACGUACCCAGUCGUGGGGGAUAACGUGGCGAAAGUCACGCUAAUACCGCAUACGUCCUGAGGGAGAAAGCAGGGGAUCGCAAGACCUUGCGCGAUUGGGAGCGGCCGAUGUCUGAUUAGCUAGUUGGUGGGGUAAAGGCCUACCAAGGCGACGAUCAGUAGCUGGUCUGAGAGGACGAUCAGCCACACUGGGACUGAGACACGGCCCAGACUCCUACGGGAGGCAGCAGUGGGGAAUUUUGGACAAUGGGCGAAAGCCUGAUCCAGCCAUUCCGCGUGAGUGAAGAAGGCCUC